UACGUAGGGUGCGAGCGUUAAUCGGAAUUACUGGGCGUAAAGCGUGCGCAGGCGGUUCGUUAAGUCAGCUGUGAAAGCCCCGGGCUUAACCUGGGAAUGGCGGUUGAAACUGGCGAACUUGAAUCUGGCAGAGGGGGGUGGAAUUCCACGUGUAGCAGUGAAAUGCGCAGAUAUCAGGAGGAACACCUAUUGCGAAGGCAGCUCGCUGGGACGUAACUGACGCUGAGACGCGAAAGCGUGGGGAGCAAACAGG
RNAcentral lists this ribosomal RNA (253 nucleotides) under uncultured bacterium. Its description in RNAcentral is "partial 16S ribosomal RNA". It matches the Rfam family "Bacterial small subunit ribosomal RNA", at positions 524 to 776 of the family's 1533-position model. The record is from RNAcentral.